Long non-coding RNA from Daphnia pulicaria, 767 nucleotides. RefSeq lists it as uncharacterized. NCBI's taxonomy places the organism in Eukaryota, Metazoa, Arthropoda, Branchiopoda, Diplostraca, Daphniidae. The record is from RefSeq and is a predicted model, not a curated record. The transcript has 4 exons.
GUAAUCGUGGAGGAAUCUUUUGGCUCCGUCAGUAGGUGGCUAAAUUCAAGUUGUCCCACAGCCGCCAGAUGACGCGAGUGUCUUUGAGAGGACGAAAUAUUCGCCAUUUCGUUCCGAAACGCCAAGUGAAAAGGUAUUCCAAAUUCGUUACGGAAUUGCUGUGUCGAUCUACAUUUUCAGAAUUGAAAUACAAUCUGGCAUAUAAUUUCCACUUGGCCAAAUAAUCGAUCACGUGGACUGAAACUAUUUUUCAUUCUGCUUAAAUGUCCAUUGUUAGCUGUACCUGUUCGGAUGUACGUCUCAUCUCACGCAGAAACACUACAGAGUUGGUGUUCAGGUUGGAGAUCCUGUUGCUUAACUGUUGCAGAAUGUGAGAACUCGACAAAUUCUGAGCUCCAGCGAGCUGGUGAAAGGUGUGCUGCAGCUGCUGCAUUCAGUAUAUUGAGCUGGUGUUAUCCUGAAGUGUCAUUGCAGGAAAACUUUUUGAAAUGAACUUGGUGACACUUAAACUAUGCCUGUGCAGUGGUUUUGCAGCCUGUUUCCAGUUGAGAGAUGUGAUUAUGCAGCUGACACAGGAUUGAAGAAAAAGAACUGAAGUAGCUGUGCUGGUGUUCUUCUGAAAUUGCUGUGCCAUAGGAGUUGCAGAUAGUGUAGUAGUAGUUCCUCAUAGAAGUUUAUUUAAAGAGUCUGGAGAUGAUCAGCCACUCCUGCCUAUAACUUAUGUAAAACGUCAAAGUUGUAACUUGUUAGAAAUAUACAAGUCAAGU